UUAUUACUCCCCCCGUCCAAAAAUUCUUGUCUUAAGUUUAUCUAGAAAUGGAUGUACCUAAAUACUAAAACUUGACUAGAUACAUUUAUAUAUAGACAAAUGUAAGACAAGAAUUUUGGGUGGGAGGAAGUAUUAU
Molecule: non-coding RNA, 136 nt
Organism: Hordeum vulgare subsp. vulgare (domesticated barley)
Lineage: Eukaryota; Viridiplantae; Streptophyta; Magnoliopsida; Poales; Poaceae
Source: Rfam